Molecule: long non-coding RNA, 1117 nt
Organism: Venturia canescens
Lineage: Eukaryota; Metazoa; Arthropoda; Insecta; Hymenoptera; Ichneumonidae
Exons: 3
Source: RefSeq, a predicted model, not a curated record
UUCGUACGCUCACCGUGCGUCGGUUCCUGGUGCCUACGGGCGCCUACGGUAACGCGUACUCCCAUUCUUCUCCCAUAUUUACCAGAUAAUCUGGUACCUAACAGUAGGCUGAUUAUCUAGAAGUAGAUUGUACGUUAUCAAAAGAAAUACGGAAGACAGCGCGUAACUCAGAAUUACGAAAAGUCAAACACAACCUCAAAUAAAAUCCUUCGUAGUUCAAUGCAACCAAUUUUUUCAUAAAUUAAUAAAGGAGUGAAUAUAAUGGUCAACAGUUGAUAACAAUACAGUCACAGGCUCAAAAACAUCUCGAAAAAUCAAGAGGUAGGCGGAGCCCGUUUUUGAGGAUUGAAACUUGGAAACAUGGAAGCUUGCAGCGAGCUUAAACAAAAUUAUGAUGCUUGUUUCAAUUAUUGGUUCUCUGAAAGAUUUCUCAAAGGUGAUCAUAAUGAUUCUAUAUGCUCUUCGUUGCUCAAAGUUUACAAAGAAUGCGUUCAGAAAGCCAUAAAAGAACAAAACAUAGAAAUAAAGGAGGUCGAGGUCAAUCACCUAGGUACAGAAAAGGAAAAAGGCCCAGAGAGCUGACCUGCUAUGGACAAUGAAAAAGCUACUGUAAAUACAAAAACAAAUUUUCGGAUGGAUCUUCGAUUGUUCUGUCUGGCCCUGAGAAAAUCGAUUUAUUUUUCGCAAUGGGCUGUUUUCUUCUGAUCACCUUAAAGCAAGCUGGCAGAGUUCAUUUCCCAGAGUUUCCACGUUGAGAAAUAAAGUGGUGGAAAACUACAAUUUUUAGAUUUGAAUAUGAAAAUUUUAUUUUUAGACUCAAACGCGAACGUAUUCUCUAGAUAUUUUUUUCAACUCGCGAUUUUUAGUAUUCAUCAAAUUCCUGUUAUCUCGAAUUAUAUUGAAUUUCAAAUAUUUCCAAUAAACUGUGCACGUAUUGCCUCAAAAUAGUCGCUGAGAGUGACAGGUCUAAGUGAAGGUCAUAUUAAACAUGCCAAUUUUUUGGUUUGCACUUUCGUUUUAUAGAAAUAUUACAACUGUUUCAUCAUGUGAAAUUCGUAAGUGCAAAUGUUGUAAAAUAAUCGAUGCUGUUGAAAUAAAAGUAUCUUAAGAAAAUAAA